AUUUAGGGAGGGAAACACCAGUGGCGAAAGGCGACUUUCUGGACUGUGUCUGACACUGAGGCGCGAAAGGCCAGGGGUAGUGAACGGGAUUAGAUACCCCCGGUAAAUCCUGGCCGUAAACGAUGGGUACUAGGUGUUGGGGGGUAUCGACCCCUCCAGUGCCGCAGCUAACGUAAUAAGUACUCCGCCUGGGGAGUACGGCCGCAAGGGUUGAAACUCAAAGGAAUUGACGGGGGGCCCGCACAAGCGGUGGAGUAUGUGGUUUAAUUCGACGCAACGCGGAGAACCUUACCAGGACUUGACAUCGUAUGAUGAACCUAGAGAUAGGAAGUUCUCUUUCGGGGAGACAUAUAGACAGGUGGUGCAUGGCUGUCGUCAGCUCGUGUCGUGAGAUGUUGGGUUAAGUCCCGCAACGAGCGCAACCCUUAUCCUAUGUUGCCAGCACGUAAUGGUGGGAACUCAUGGGAGACUGCCGUGGAUAACACGGAGGAAGGUGGGGAUGACGUCAAGUCAUCAUGCCCCUUAUGUCCUGGGCUACACACGUACUACAAUGGGUUUUAAUAGAGGGAUGCAAAACCGCGAGGUCAAGCCAAUCUCAAAAACAAACUCUCAGUUCGGAUCGGAGGCUGCAACUCGCCUCCGUGAAGUCGGAAUCGCUAGUAAUCGCAGAUCAGCAUGCUGCGAUGAAUACGUUCCCGGGCCUUGUACACACCGCCCGUCACACCACGAAAAUUUUCACCACCGGAAACCGGUGAGGUAACCAGCAAUGGAGCCA
This 775-nucleotide ribosomal RNA is filed under the name uncultured bacterium. RNAcentral's name for it is "bacterial SSU rRNA". It matches the Rfam family "Bacterial small subunit ribosomal RNA", at positions 692 to 1451 of the family's 1533-position model. The record is from RNAcentral.